Molecule: long non-coding RNA, 1042 nt
Filed under: Bos grunniens (domestic yak)
Lineage: Eukaryota; Metazoa; Chordata; Mammalia; Artiodactyla; Bovidae
Description: lncRNA (ENSBGRG00000016169.1)
Source: RNAcentral
AGCUCCUUUUAAAAAGGGUCCAAUAGACAGAGUCUUUGAUUUUGACUUGCCCUCCUGAGUAAGGAUGGUAGCUUUCAUGGAAUUUCUGUAGCAUCAGGCAGAAAACUGAGGCUGAUCUAGGAAAGAUUUCUUGAGAGCCUAGAUUUACCUAAGAGGGGCAUGUGGAUGUAACGGAAAUGAUUUUGGACAAAGUUAGGGGUGCCUGUCUUCCUAAAGAUGAGAAAAUAUGGUUUUAAACCUUAGGGGAAAUUUUCUAAUUUAAGGUUGUUUUUUUUUUUUUCAAUAUUUUGUUGUAAAAUAUGAACUUAUGAAGUUUCUUGAAUGGAUUUUUGGUACAAGACCAAUGGAGAAAUUAUUGGGAGGAAUAGUAGUUGAAGUUGAUGAAAGUGCAAAGUGAUACUGGGCAUUUUUGUGUGAAGAAAGAUCUUCAAACAUGACUGGAUGAGCCAAUGGGGCAAGAUAACAGGACUCAUCUAGUGAUCCAUCAGCCAAUCAAGAGCUCUCAUCAAGCCUGUCUUCUCCAUGGGAAAGCAACAUUCUGCAAGGACCUGCAGUACUACUUUUUUUUUUUUUUUUUGGCCUUACUUUAGUCAUUGUUAAAAAAAUGAAUUAAUAAAUCUACAUGUGUGUAAAUGACAAUCAAUAUUGUUCAACAGGAGGAUUUGUAAAAUUAAGAUCUACACAAAAGUAAAAUAAUGUUUAUAAAUUUGACACAGAGUGAUUGUACAAGAUUUCAUUGAGUGAAGUUACAUACACAUUAUAUCUCUGCUAUUUCUAUUUUACUUUGAAAUAACAAAGAUUUCCAGCUUCGAAUGAGUUGGUAAACUGUCAUCUACAAAUCAAACUGGAUUUUUAAAAGUCUGUUAAUCACAAAUCCUGAUUGAAAUGUUUCAACACUACACCUCACAAUAAAUAUUUGUUCAAAGAAUGAACUAAGUUAGUCAAACAAUGUUGAAGUUUAUUGAUUUUUUAAAUUGAGUUAUAAUUUAUAAACAAAAUACUCACAUGUGAAAAGUGUCUUUCAACCAGUUUCAACAGUAUC